Molecule: small nuclear RNA, 161 nt
Filed under: Falco tinnunculus (common kestrel)
Lineage: Eukaryota; Metazoa; Chordata; Aves; Falconiformes; Falconidae
Description: U1 spliceosomal RNA (ENSFTIG00000002909.1)
Rfam family: U1 spliceosomal RNA
About the family: U1 is a small nuclear RNA (snRNA) component of the spliceosome (involved in pre-mRNA splicing).
Source: RNAcentral
AGAACGUGUCAGAGGAGGCAUCGUGUUCAGGAAGACUAUCGUUCCAGGCUGCGGCUCAUCUCUUUCACUCUGGAUGUGCUGACAUUGCAGUUUACCAAAACAUGGGAAGUUUGGCUGCAUAAUAAGCAGUAGCAGAGAUACCUUAUUUGUAUUCCUCCUUG